RNAcentral lists this ribosomal RNA (587 nucleotides) under uncultured bacterium. RNAcentral's name for it is "partial 16S ribosomal RNA". It matches the Rfam family "Bacterial small subunit ribosomal RNA", at positions 355 to 941 of the family's 1533-position model. The record is from RNAcentral.
UGGGGAAUUUUGGACAAUGGGCGAAAGCCUGAUCCAGCAAUGCCGCGUGUGUGAAGAAGGCCUUCGGGUUGUAAAGCACUUUUGUCCGGAAAGAAAUCCUUGGCUCUAAUACAGUCGGGGGAUGACGGUACCGGAAGAAUAAGCACCGGCUAACUACGUGCCAGCAGCCGCGGUAAUACGUAGGGUGCAAGCGUUAAUCGGAAUUACUGGGCGUAAAGCGUGCGCAGGCGGUUUGCUAAGACCGAUGUGAAAUCCCCGGGCUCAACCUGGGAACUGCAUUGGUGACUGGCAGGCUAGAGUAUGGCAGAGGGGGGUAGAAUUCCACGUGUAGCAGUGAAAUGCGUAGAGAUGUGGAGGAAUACCGAUGGCGAAGGCAGCCCCCUGGGCCAAUACUGACGCUCAUGCACGAAAGCGUGGGGAGCAAAACAGGAUUAGAUACCCUGGUAGUCCACGCCCUAAACGAUGUCAACUAGUUGUUGGGGAUUCAUUUCCUUAGUAACGUAGCUAACGCGUGAAGUUGACCGCCUGGGGAGUGCGGUCGCAAGAUUAAAACUCAAAGGAAUUGACGGGGUCAUAGCUGUAUCCUG